RNAcentral lists this ribosomal RNA (468 nucleotides) under uncultured bacterium. RNAcentral describes it as "partial 16S ribosomal RNA". It matches the Rfam family "Bacterial small subunit ribosomal RNA", at positions 28 to 507 of the family's 1533-position model. The record is from RNAcentral.
GACGAACGCUGGCGGCGUGCUUAACACAUGCAAGUCGAACGGAAAGGCCCUGCUUUUGUGGGGUGCUCGAGUGGCGAACGGGUGAGUAACACGUGAGUAACCUGCCCUUGACUUUGGGAUAACUUCAGGAAACUGGGGCUAAUACCGGAUAGGAGCUCCUGCUGCAUGGUGGGGGUUGGAAAGUUUCGGCGGUUGGGGAUGGACUCGCGGCUUAUCAGCUUGUUGGUGGGGUAGUGGCUUACCAAGGCUUUGACGGGUAGCCGGCCUGAGAGGGUGACCGGCCACAUUGGGACUGAGAUACGGCCCAGACUCCUACAGUAGACAACAGUGGGGAAUAUUGCACAAUGGGCGGAAGCCUGAUGCAGCAACGCCGCGUGCGGAAUGACGUCCUUCGGGUUGUAAACCGCUUUCGCCUGUUACGAAGCGUGAGUGACGGUAAUGAGUAAAUAAGCACCGGCUAACUACGUG